This 1531-nucleotide ribosomal RNA is filed under the name Pectinodesmus pectinatus. RNAcentral describes it as "bacterial LSU rRNA". It matches the Rfam family "Bacterial large subunit ribosomal RNA", at positions 1680 to 2885 of the family's 2925-position model. The record is from RNAcentral. Lineage: Eukaryota; Viridiplantae; Chlorophyta; Chlorophyceae; Sphaeropleales; Scenedesmaceae.
GCUCAGGCUAACACAUAUCCUCGGUAAAGGAACUCGGCAAAUUACUUGCGUAUCUUAGGUAGAAGCAAGCCCAUAAACAGAAACACAGAAUCUGUUUACGGGGGCACAAACUAUAGGUGGGGGACUGUUUAUCAAAAACACAGGGCUUUGCAACGUAGAAAUACUCAGUAUAAGGCCUGACGCCUGCCCAGUGCCGGAAGAUAAGAAUUCAUUGUUCACGCAGUGAAUCUGAAGGACCGGUGAACGGCAGCCCUAACUCUAAGGGUUCUAAGGUAUCUUUUUCGUUGCCUUAUUAAAACAAAGCCAUAUGCUGGAAACUUCUAUAUGUUAUUUCUACUAUUUAGUCCAGUUUAUAAAUAUAACUGUUAAUAGUAAAAAUGAAAUAACAAGAACAAUCAGCAGGAAAGACUAUUCCUUUACUAAUAGUUUCCCCAGAGACUAGACGCUUUGCUUUGUUUAAUUUACUCAUAGAGUCUAACAUCAUAAAUGAUGCGUUCAUUAAACAUUGAAGAUAUAGUCCUUAUCUAUUCAUCUUUUUUUAUUUAUACUUAAUAAAAAUGGAUAGAUAGAGCGAAAUUCCUUGUCGAAUAAUUGUCGACCCGCAUGAAUGGCGUCACCAUCCACCUACUGUCUCUACCGAGGUGUGGGCGAAUUUGACAUUCUCGUGAAGAGGCGAGAGUACUGCCACGGGACAAUGAGACCCUGUGCACCUUUACUCUAAGCUAAAACUGCUUUUUGAAAACACCUUUUUCAGCAUAGGUGGGAGCUCUCUUUUGGAAAGGGUGCGUCAAUGAGAUACCACCAUUGGUUUAUUCAAAAGCUUUUCUAUUCUCUCUAUGUUUUUAUUAGAGAAAAUAAAAAUCUUUUAGCUUGGGAGUUUGUCUGGGGCGGAAGCCUCCAAAAAAAUAUCGGGGGCGUGCCAAGGUAUGGUCUAACUGUUUUUGCGGUUUUAGAGUCUGACAACCCAGAAACCAUGCCUGACUGUUAGGCAUACAAGCCAAGCAGGGUGCAGAACAGAAUGCACGCUUGAAAAAUGGAUUUUUAUUCUGGUUUUUCAAGUGACGAAAGUCUGCGGUAGUGAACCAGCACUUUGAAGUGGAAAAAGUGUUGAUCAACGGAUCAAAGGUACGCCAGGGAUAACAGGUUAAUCAGUCCUUAGAGUCCCUAUCGACGGACUGGUUUGACACCUCGAUGUCGGCUCAUCGCGUCCUCUAGCUGAAGAAGGUUAGAAGGGUUAGACUGUUCGUCUAUUAAAGCGGUACGUGAGCUGGGUUCAGUGCGUGGUGACACAGCACGGCUCUUCUCUGUGGCAGUUUUUUAGACAGUUACAUUGGCUUUUUAGUACGAAAGGACCUGAAAGUCCACACCUCUGGUUUAUCAGUUGUGUUUUCAAUACGCAUUGCUGAGCAGCUAAGUGUGCAAACAGUAUGGCUGAAAGCAUCUUAAGCCAGAAAGUUGUGUAAAACCAUGUCUCUUUUUUGGUAGUAGACUACUACCUCUAGAUCGGUACAUUGUAAAAAAACGAGAGUUU